This 295-nucleotide long non-coding RNA is filed under the name Trifolium pratense (red clover). RNAcentral's name for it is "long non-coding RNA (TPRA_LNC000245)". The record is from RNAcentral. Lineage: Eukaryota; Viridiplantae; Streptophyta; Magnoliopsida; Fabales; Fabaceae.
CCAAUAUACCGAUACUUCAUUUAUUUUUGCUACAAAGCAAUGCAUUAUUCAACUAACAAGUAUGCAAAAGACCACUACUCAGCCCAAGAUAUGACCUUGAACGUCAUUUAUCUGUUACCGUUACGUAAUAUAACAUUUUAUGGAAUGAAAAAUGAAGAUAUAACUUGAAUUUACCACUACAAUUCAUUAUUUAUCAGGCUGAAUGUUUAACUUCAAGCAAAGCAACAGUACAUAAGAAGUGACAUGCCUAACACUUAACUAUGAAACUUGCCUGACAUAUUUGCUCAACCUUUUC